UUCACAGUAUGAUGAGGCCAUGGACUCUGCAAAAAUGAAAUACAAAUACCAUUCUAUGAUCCUGGCUAUUAGAAUUGAAGACCACCCUCUGUCUAUGCACAGUCCUGAUUUAAGAAGCCUACGUGAGACCUGACUUAUUCUUCACUCAGGACGGGGUCUGAGCCACUGAGUGAAAACAAGCAAAAAUCAAGCAAACGACAAACUCAAUGAACUUCACAAUUUUCCUCUAUUAGAAGAGAUCUGAUUUCUUUCUCUGGGCAAUUUAAGUGUUUCAGUUAAUUCUGACUAUGAAGAAAAGUUUGUAUGUUUCACCUUUAUAUUACAUACAUGAAUUCAA
Long non-coding RNA from Myodes glareolus (Bank vole), 337 nucleotides. RefSeq lists it as uncharacterized. The record is from RefSeq and is a predicted model, not a curated record. Lineage: Eukaryota; Metazoa; Chordata; Mammalia; Rodentia; Cricetidae.